UGGCUCAGAUUGAAGCUGGCGGAAUGCUUUACACAUGCAAGUCGAACGGUAGAGGGGGCAACCCUCGAGAGUGGCGAACGGGUGAGUAAUAUAUCGGAACGUGCCCAGUCGUGGGGGAUAACGUAGCGAAAGUUACGCUAAUACCGCAUACGGAUCCAAGGAUGAAAGCGGGGGACUCGCAAGAGCCUCGCGCGAUUGGAGCGGCCGAUAUCAGAUUAGGUAGUUGGUGGGGUAAAGGCUCACCAAGCCAACGAUCUGUAGCUGGUCUGAGAGGACGACCAGCCACACUGGAACUGAGACACGGUCCAGACUCCUACGGGAGGCAGCAGUGGGGAAUUUUGGACAAUGGGCGCAAGCCUGAACCAGCCAUGCCGCGUGCAGGAAGACGGUCCUAUGGAUUGUAAACUGCUUUUAUACAGGAAGAAACAACGCUACGUGUAGCGUCUUGACGGUACUGUAGGAAUAAGGAUCGGCUAACUCCGUG
RNAcentral lists this ribosomal RNA (484 nucleotides) under uncultured bacterium. RNAcentral describes it as "bacterial SSU rRNA". It matches the Rfam family "Bacterial small subunit ribosomal RNA", at positions 20 to 507 of the family's 1533-position model. The record is from RNAcentral.